CACCAUAUGUCUAUAAGAGUCCACCACCACCCUCUCCAUCACCACCACCUCCAUAUGUCUACAAGUCUCCUCCUCCACCAUCACCCUCACCUCCCCCACCAUAUGUUUACAAGUCACCACCACCUCCAUCCCCUUCACCUCCUCCUCCAUAUGUCUACAAGUCACCACCACCACCAUCCCCAUCUCCACCACCUCCAUAUAUUUACAAGUCCCCACCACCACCAUCCCCAUCACCCCCUCCACCAUAUAUAUACAAGUCUCCUCCUCCACCAUCACCCUCCCCUCCCCCACCAUAUGUAUAUAAAUCACCACCACCCCCAUCUCCAUCCCCCCCUCCACCAUAUGUCUACAAGUCACCACCUCCACCAUCCCCAUCUCCACCACCUCCAUAUGUCUACAAAUCUCCACCCCCACCAUCACCUUCACC
RNAcentral lists this long non-coding RNA (427 nucleotides) under Medicago truncatula (barrel medic). RNAcentral's name for it is "long non-coding RNA (MTRU_LNC006874)". Lineage: Eukaryota; Viridiplantae; Streptophyta; Magnoliopsida; Fabales; Fabaceae. The record is from RNAcentral.